UGGGGCCUACGGGACGCAGCAGUGGGGAAUAUUGGGCAAUGGGCGCAAGCCUGACCCAGCAACGCCGCGUGAAGGAAGAAGGCCCUCGGGUUGUAAACUUCUUUUAUCAAGGACGAAACAAAUGACGGUACUUGAUGAAUAAGCCACGGCUAACUACGUGCCAGCAGCCGCGGUAAUGCGUAGGUGGCAAGCGUUAUCCGGAUUUAUUGGGUGUAAAGGGCGUGUAGGCGGGAAAGCAAGUCAGAUGUGAAAACUCAGGGCUCAACCCUGAGCCUGCAUUUGAAACUGUUUUUCUUGAGUGCUGG
This 305-nucleotide ribosomal RNA is filed under the name uncultured bacterium. Its description in RNAcentral is "bacterial SSU rRNA". It matches the Rfam family "Bacterial small subunit ribosomal RNA", at positions 333 to 652 of the family's 1533-position model. The record is from RNAcentral.